GUGGGGAAUUUUGGACAAUGGGCGCAAGCCUGAUCCAGCAAUGCCGCGUGCAGGAAGAAGGCCUUCGGGUUGUAAACUGCUUUUGUACGGAACGAAACGGUCCGGGUUAAUACCCUGGGCUAAUGACGGUACCGUAAGAAUAAGCACCGGCUAACUACGUGCCAGCAGCCGCGGUAAUACGUAGGGUGCAAGCGUUAAUCGGAAUUACUGGGCGUAAAGCGUGCGCAGGCGGUUUUGUAAGUCAGGCGUUAAAUCCCCGGGCUCAACCUGGGAAUUGGGCUUGGGACUGGAAGGCUGGAGUGCGGCAGAGGGGGAUGGAAUUCCGCGGGUAGCAGUGAAAUGCGUAGAUAUGCGGAGGAACACCGAUGGCGAAGGCAAUCCCCUGGGCCUGCACUGACGCUCAUGCACGAAAGCGUGGGGAGCAAACAGGAUUAGAAACCCUGGUAGUCC
This 450-nucleotide ribosomal RNA is filed under the name uncultured bacterium. RNAcentral describes it as "partial 16S ribosomal RNA". It matches the Rfam family "Bacterial small subunit ribosomal RNA", at positions 354 to 796 of the family's 1533-position model. The record is from RNAcentral.